AGGUUAUGGUUCAUGCAUAGAAGCCGGUUACCAACCAAACAUUUUAUUGAUAUUCAAAUGUUGAAUGCCUGAGAAAUAUAUUCUUUGGCUGUGAUUUAGUGGUUAUGGUUCAUAUUCGAAAACUCAGUGUCUCAUAAUCUUGUUCAGGACAAGUGGCAUUGAGCGUCUUGACCUUUUAUUUUAAAAUUAGUUAAUUAUAUUUUUUGAAGGGGC
RNAcentral lists this long non-coding RNA (213 nucleotides) under Elaeis guineensis (African oil palm). RNAcentral describes it as "long non-coding RNA (EGUI_LNC004176)". Lineage: Eukaryota; Viridiplantae; Streptophyta; Magnoliopsida; Arecales; Arecaceae. The record is from RNAcentral.